UCUGCACCAUUCACAAGUGUGCAAAAAAAAAAAAAAAAAGGUUGUAAUGAUCGUAUAGCAUGCAGGGCCUCUUUGUGAAUGCGGGCUCAUGUAAAACACGCCGCCGUGCUAGUCUGGGUGGGCCUUGUCAAUGUAGGCCAUGUACGCUCAUUUUCAUUACACACACACACACACACACACACAAACACACACACACACACACACACACAUGCAAGCCCUUUGCCACCUUGACAAAUAUCUUUAGAGGAGGUUGCCAUGUCAGCUGGGCCUUGGAUGGGCUAAAAAACACAGGAACAGGUGUCCCCCCCCCCCAGAGUGUGUGUGCGUGCAUACGUUCGUGUGUUCGUGGAGACCGGAGAUACACACACAUACCUUGCAUCCUCUCAUUUGUGCCAAAAAAAAAAAAAAAAACAGCAUUAAAAAUAUGAGUCGCUUUUGUCUCACCGUUGCUCGCAGGGAGAGAAGAAGAGCACAUAAUAAAUCCUCGUGUCGUGUUCAACAACACCUGUUAUGCAUAAAUCCACGCAGGGGGGAAAAAGCUGGGAACAGGCGAUCAACAACAGUACCGCCAACAGCUGAUCACACAAUCCGAGAUGAAGCUUGAGCCACAUUUAAGAGGCGGCUAACGGGAAAAGAGAACUAUAUCCACUGAGUGUAAACAGUCUCUGCUGCAUCACGUCGCGGGUGGAUCUCCGGAGGACAAACGGAAACUAUAUCGUCUUCCGUGCAUUUAUCCAAAUGAUGUCAGAUUUUCAAUGCUUAUAAAAACCCACCCACAGACGGCAGAGACGACCGUGCGGCCCCUAAAUGAACGCGCUUGACGUGGAUUUUGUCCGCACAGACAAGUCUUCCAUUUCUCCAUCUUUCUCCGUGCGGGGGGUGGGGGAAGGCCGAUGAAUUUCCACGCAGACACUUGAAAUACAGCCUUUGUUUUGCUCCCCCGGCGAAGCUUGAGUUUCCCGGAAAAUAUAUGACAAAAAAAAAGAAAAAAGGCGCCCCGUCCGAGGGAAAAUGAAAAAAAAAAACAGGCAAACGGAUAAAGAUUCACAUCGUCAACGAUGUCGAAAUGACGAAGACCGGGAGGAGGAAUGAUUAAUAAAGAAGAAGAAAAGGGCAAAAAAAGGCAGCUGGAUUGAGCGAAUUAUUCCUGAAUAAUCCCAAUUAUGGCUGCUCGCUCGGGUCGCAGCUCGUACAUUUGCGGAAUCACUCGGUUCUCUUCGGAGAAAGAGAGAGAGGCGGGGUGAGUCAACUCGCUUUCAGAAGAUCUCCGAAAUGAUUGGGCAAAAGCCCAACAAGUGACUACGAGGCGCCAUGUUGGACACCAUCAUGGAGACGCCGGUGUGCACACCGCGUUUGGGAGGUGAAAAUGGGAAGUUGUUGUCCACUUUGCAGCUGUAACAGCUUUGCCUUUCUGAGGAGACUUCCUGCAAGAUGUUAGAGUGUGUCCGUGGGAAGAAGAACAUUUGUGAAGUCAAAUGUCACUGGAGUUGAGCCUGAGAAAUGGUGUGCUGAGUGCUGACUUGCCAUCUCAUCCCGUUGGGGUUUAGGGUUGCGGGGGUGCUGGAGCCUAUCUCAGCUACAAUCAGGCGGAAGGCGGUGUACACCCUGGACAAGUCGCCAUCUCAUCACAGACAGAGAGACCUGUGAUUGAGAAAUAUAUUGAUUAAGAGGUGUGUCUUAAUUGUUGAACAUGUAUACCGUACCGUAUUUUACAUAUUUUCUUUGUUACAUGUCCAAAAAGGAGUAGGAAGAAGCAAAGCUUAUCUAAUCGUCCCCCUUUUUUACUUCAUGAGAAUCACUAGCACAUACUUCCUGUUCUCAACUUGUACACAAUUCCAUGAUCAAUAUGUUCCAAAUACAUAAUUUAUUCUCAUAUGUGGUUAAAUCAGUUAUGAUUGGCUUAAUGACAUGAAUAAUAUUUCAUUUUCAAUAAAUGUAUGACAUUUAUCAUAAUUAUUCUCCUUUGUACUUUGUAAACACUUGUAGUUUGACCAGCCUCUUAAACUGUAUUAUAUUAUUACAUUGUUUGAUUUAUUUGCUUAAUCCAUUCCAUAAUUGAAUUCCACAUACUGCCAUGCUAAAAGUUUCAGGUGUUGUACAUGCAAACAAAUGUUUUCAGUGAGAUGUAUAUUUUAAAUGUCUAAUUGUUCUCUUUUGGUGAGAAUAAUUUUUGGUCAUUUUUGGGUUGCAGGUUAUAGUUUGCUUUGUACAUAAAUUAAGCUGUUUGCAAAUGCAAAAAAACAAUGAGUUUGGAACCAAAACAUCAAAAAUUGCAAAAGUAGAGCAAAAAGGCCGAAUCUAAAGAAAAAAAUCUCAAAUGUUGAUACAAAUAUCUAAUAAUAACAAAAAAAAAGCGAGGUUUCGAAAAAACAUAGACUAGAAUGGAAUAGGGCUUUAUUGUCUGUUUCUACAUGAAAAACAGAAAUAUGUCUUUUACAAGGCUUUGGUUACAAAGUUAAUAAGCAGAUUUACACUAUAAUAGAUAUACAAGAGCAACAGUUCCGCCUGUUUUAUCGUUAUCUAGAACAGUUAUUGCAGAUGGGAUGAAUGAUUUCUUAAAAACGUUUUUCCUGGCCAUUGGGGUUCCGUAUCGUCUGCCUGAUGGCAACAGCGUGAAGGACUGAUGCAAGGGGUGGGAGGGGUCCUCCGUUAUGAAGAUGGCCUUCUUUCCCAUUGAGUGCCCAUGAAGUUUAGUCAGAGGAAGUUGAACUGUUUUGGUUAUUUUCCUGGCCUGAUUUGUUAUGUGGGAGACUUUUGUUGUGGUGGUGACAUUGAGGAAGUUGAACCAGGAUGAGAUGGUAUAGAAUCAAGUAGAUUCGGUAAGUAAUCUGUAAACAGGAGUUAAAAUGUAUUUCUUGAUAUUAAAAGUCCUCAGUUAUCUGAGCAAAUGUAGGCGCUGUUGUGCCUUUUUGCAGAGUGAGUCAGCAUGUUGUGAAAAGGACUUUUAAAACUCUGUACCUGCUCCACCUGCUGGCCUUGUAUGCAUAGUGGUCGGAACAGGUGCUCUGCAGGGUACAUGCAUAGAAACAUACCAUCCAUCCAUCCAUCUUCUUCCGCUUAUCUGAGGUCGGGUAGCGGGGGCAGCAGCCUAAGCAGGGAAGCCCAGACUUCCCUCUCCCCAGCCACUUUGUCCAGCUCUUCCCGGGGAUCCCGAGGCUUCCCAAGCCAGGGUGGGUACUCUGAGCUGCUGUUUGGUGCGUAAGCACAAACAACAGUCAGGACCCGUCCCCCCCACCCGAAGGCGGAGUGAAGCUACCCUCUCGUCCACUGGGUUGAACUCCAACGUACAGGCUUUGAGCUGGGGGACAACAAGAAUUGCCACUCCAGCCCGUCGCCUCUCACUGCCGGCAACGCCAGAGUGGAAGAAAGUCCAUUCCCUCUCGAGAGAACUGGUUCCAGAGCCCUUGCUGUGCGUCGAGGUGAGUCCAACUAUAUCCAACCGGAACUUCUCUACCUCCCGCACUAGUUCAUGCUCCUUCCCCCCCAGUGAGGUGACGUUCCACGUUCCAAGAGCCAUCUUAUGUAGCCGAGGAUCGGACCGCCAAGGGCCCUGCCUUCGGCUGCCGCCCAGCUCACAAUGCACCCGACCUCUAUGGCCCCUCCCGUGAGUGUUGAGCCCAUUGGAAGAAUGACCCACCUUGCCUCUUCAGGCUGUGGCCACCAGGCGCUCGCCAUCAUACCCCAACUCCGGGCCUAACUCCAGAUCGGGGCCCCGGUGACCCGCGUCCGGGCGAGGGAAAUCUGAUUCCAUUUUGUUGUGUAUCAACAGAAGUCUUCGAGUUGCUCUUUGUCUGAUCCCUCACCUAGGACCUGUUUGUCUCUGGGAGACCCUACCAGGGGGCAUGAAAGCCCCCGGACAACAUAGCUCCUAGGAUCAUCGGGACACGCAAACUCCUCUUAUGAUUAGCAACAAGGGAGUCCUCUCUGUCAGUUGAUAUUGUGGCAGAGCUUCAAUUCUACACGCUGAAACGGAUGUCUUAGAUCCCUUUUCUUAGGAGAUGCUUUAUGUCGGCAUAAAGACGGCAACUUACUGGGACACACUGUCACAGCAGUACCAAGGCUGAGUGAGUUGCAGUUUAGGAGACAUUCAAGACAAUCAUCCACCUGUGCUGCAGCGUGAGUGGACAAUGUGUGCCAUCACCAGAUGGAUGCUCUUGGUCACAGGCACCAGAUGGAUGAGGAGCAAUCUGUUAACAUACAACAGUAAGAGCACAGUGACAGCUCACAGUGGAAAAAAACAAGAAAUGACAGUUAUUUGUAUGUUAGUAAAGAACAUUUUACCUCAUAUACAUUUUUCUAUUAGACAUUUUGACACAUCUGCAGAUGGUUUUAAAAUUGUCUAAUUUAACUAGAAUAUACGCUUAAGAGUUUAAUUUGAUAUGGAUU
Nerophis ophidion (straightnose pipefish) is the source of this 4386-nucleotide long non-coding RNA. RefSeq lists it as uncharacterized. The record is from RefSeq and is a predicted model, not a curated record. Lineage: Eukaryota; Metazoa; Chordata; Actinopteri; Syngnathiformes; Syngnathidae. The transcript has 4 exons.